This 320-nucleotide ribosomal RNA is filed under the name uncultured eukaryote. RNAcentral's name for it is "partial 18S ribosomal RNA". It matches the Rfam family "Eukaryotic small subunit ribosomal RNA", at positions 1470 to 1796 of the family's 1831-position model. The record is from RNAcentral.
CCCCUAGAUGUUCUGGACCGCACGCGCGCUACACUGAACAGUUCAACAAGUCUUAACCUUGGCCGAUAGGUCUGGGUAAUCUUUGAACGCUGUUCGUGAUUGGGAUAGACCUUUGCAAUUAUGGGUCUUCAACGAGGAAUUCCUAGUAAACGCAAGUCAUCAGCUUGCAUUGAUUACGUCCCUGCCCUUUGUACACACCGCCCGUCGCACCUACCGAUUGAAUGGUCCGGUGAAAUCUCGGGACGGCGGCUCGGUCGCUUGCGUCCGACUGCUGAAACUUGAUUAAACCAUAUCAUUUAGAGGAAGGUGAAGUCGUAACA